GACAGAGGUGCCGAGCGUUAGGCGGAAUCACUGGGCUUAAAGCGUGUGUAGGCGGAUGCCUAAGUACCUUGUGAAAUCCCACGGCUUAACCGUGGAACUGCUUGGUAUACUGGGUGUCUUGAGCCACUUAGGGGCUACCGGAACAAAUGGUGGAGCGGUGAAAUGCGUAGAUAUCAUUUGGAACGCCAAUGGUGAAAACAGGUAGCUGGGAGUGUGCUGACGCUGAGACACGAAAGCCAGGGGAGCGAACGGGA
This 254-nucleotide ribosomal RNA is filed under the name uncultured prokaryote. Its description in RNAcentral is "partial 16S ribosomal RNA". It matches the Rfam family "Bacterial small subunit ribosomal RNA", at positions 524 to 777 of the family's 1533-position model. The record is from RNAcentral.